GACGAACGCUGGCGGCGUGCUUAACACAUGCAAGUCGAACGGAAAGGCCCUGCUUGCAGGGUACUCGAGUGGCGAACGGGUGAGUAACACGUGGGUGAUCUGCCCUGCACUUCGGGAUAAGCCUGGGAAACUGGGUCUAAUACCGGAUAGGAGCCAUUCUUAGUGUGGUGGUUGGAAAGUUUUUUCGGUGUAGGAUGAGCUCGCGGCCUAUCAGCUUGUUGGUGGGGUAAUGGCCUACCAAGGCGGUGACGGGUAGCCGGCCUGAGAGGGUGGACGGCCACAUUGGGACUGGGGUACCGCCCAGACCCCCACGGGAGGCAGCAGGGGGGAAGAUUGCACAAUGGGCGGAAGCCUGAUGCCGCGACGCCGCGUGGGGGAUGACGGCCUUCGGGUUGGAAACUCCUUUCGCCAGGGACGAAGCUGUUUGUGACGGUAACUAGAUAAGAAGCACCGGCUAACUACGUG
This 465-nucleotide ribosomal RNA is filed under the name uncultured bacterium. RNAcentral's name for it is "partial 16S ribosomal RNA". It matches the Rfam family "Bacterial small subunit ribosomal RNA", at positions 28 to 507 of the family's 1533-position model. The record is from RNAcentral.